GUCCCUGUCCAGUGCAGUGUGCAUUGGACUUCUAAUCCAAAGGUGGUGGGUUUGAGUCCCACCUGGGAUG
Molecule: non-coding RNA, 70 nt
Organism: Trichonephila clavipes
Lineage: Eukaryota; Metazoa; Arthropoda; Arachnida; Araneae; Nephilidae
Source: the annotation of a GenBank genome assembly